Molecule: ribosomal RNA, 200 nt
Filed under: uncultured bacterium
Lineage: Bacteria
Description: partial 16S ribosomal RNA
Rfam family: Bacterial small subunit ribosomal RNA
Source: RNAcentral
AAUCAACGCUGGCGGCGUGCCUCAGACAUGCAAGUCGAACGAUUAAAGCUCUCUUCGGAGAGUGUAUAGAGUGGCGCACGGGUGAGUAACACGUAAGUAAUCUACCCUCGAGUGGGGAAUAACGUUCGGAAACGAACGCUAAUACCGCAUAACGCAGCGGCACCGUAAGGUGACAGUUGUUAAAGGAGUAAUUCGCUUGA